RNAcentral lists this long non-coding RNA (2881 nucleotides) under Xyrichtys novacula (pearly razorfish). Lineage: Eukaryota; Metazoa; Chordata; Actinopteri; Labriformes; Labridae. The record is from RNAcentral.
CUCAGAGGAGGAGACUAGCUAAAAAUUUAACCAUUGGGAGGAAAGAAAGGGACGUUUUCUGGUGGAGAAUAUGUACGACCACUCUGAAGUAAAAGUUAGUCCUUUUUAAGCGAAGGAAUUCUGUGAUCUGAAGCAUAAAAAAAAAGGGCAAAGACACGUAUUUAUUUACAAAGAGAUCUGGAAGUGAGGACUGAAUGACAGUACGAGCGGUUAAAGGGAGAAAAUAGAAGCAGAUAUUAAUCGAAGGAAAGAAGUGAAGACUGAAUGAACGGGAGAAUCACAGAUCAGCUAACAAAACCUGAUUCACCGGUUUCUCUUCAGAAGAUUUUUGAAGCUCAGAGAUGGUGGCUGCUGCAAAUACUGACGACUUAUAAGACUGUGAUAUACAAGUUUGACUGGAUGGCUUCAUAUCUUACAUCACUACUACGCAGACGAUACUCAACUCUCCUUGUAAUUCUAGGGUGACCUUAUGUCCUUUUUUUUAGGGUCUGUCCGCCUGUCCGGGGGAUUUAUAAAAUCCUUCAAACGUCCAGGAAAGUUUAGAGUUUGUGUCGUGUGAAUUUACCGAGUUAGAAGCACUUAAAAAACACUCGACCCGACCCGGAAAACUCUCAAAAUUUAUGACUCACCACUUCACGACUCUGCCCCACGUAGUUGUGUCGUCUUUUUGGGAAUUCAGAAUAUGGUCACCCUAGUAACUCCCAUCCCUACCUGACAGAGCACACAGCACAGCUCCUGACGACUGCACCUCCUUACUGGCAGGCAGCUUGUGGGUGUUAGUUUUUACACAGCUCUGUACUGAGACUGUGUCUGAGGCUAGCUGUUAGCACCGACAUUAGCUCUCUUUUAUAGUUUAACAACAUCUGAUUGGACUUGAAGAACUUUAUGGCAGUUUUGUGUCGUUUCCUUGAGUGCAGAUCUUUGCUCGUUGGACUUCCUCUCAGAUGAGGUGUAAAAUGAGAGUUUAAUGUGGGUUUGGACUUGGGAGAAGACUGGCGUUGGGGGCCCACAUGGAAAACAAGACCAAACGUAGUCUCUAGGGCCAAAGAGACUGGACGUAGACUUAGCGAUAGUUACCUACUAGCUUCUGGUGAAGCUUUCGAAGGACAAAUGAUGGUCGAAAUACGCACUCCUUUCUAAAAAGCUCUCUCCUGAUUGGUCCGAAGUAAAGCGUUUUUGUACAUAUGUAUAUCACAGAUGUUUACUUUUGCAGCAUCUCGUUAAAAGGCAGUUAAAGAUCGUUUCCAACCGUUUGAACCAUGUGGAUUUAAAACUGAAGCGGCUCUUAGAACAUAACAGAUGACCUUUCAUAUUAAAGAGGAAUCAAUCAGGCGGAUUAAGAGAGACAUCAAUAAUGUAAUAUCUAAGAGGGGAAAGGGCAGAAAACAACAGAGAGGAAUAAUCAAGAUGGAGUUGUGUAUGGCAUACAUGGAGGACCUGAACUCUGUGACUCGACAUGAUAAAUCACCCAGGAUUCAUUGGGACGUCAACAAAGUGUCCCAGGGCCUCCGAGCUGCGGCUGCUGCAUUAACAGUAGAUGGAUGGAGAUGUACGGAGUCCUGGUGUACACAGUCUUCUGCUCUUUGCUCUUCAGCCCGCCAUCCAUCAUGAUUCUGAACUCAUACGCUGCCAACCGCGUGUACACACAUCCAUCAGGGACGCACUCAGAAGACUAAAGACAGGAAAUCAGUUAUCUGGCGUGUCAAACGAGGGAGAGCUGCAUCUUAAAGAAAGAGAAAUGAAUAAAUGGAUGAAUAUUUAAAGCUCCCAUAGGCCUCCGUCUCCUGAUGAAUAUCAUCUUUAUACGCUGCUUUAUAGAGGUAGACCGUCACUGUGGAUAAAAGUUUCCACGUCGGAUGAACCGCAUGAACUCCCACCUGCUGCUUCGUCUCUUAGCCCAAAGUGAAGACGAUGGUCUCCAUCACCCGACAGCCGGCCGAAGUGGAGCAAUCAGGGCCAAUCAAACGGCGUCGUCCUUUAAACAAAUGAUGGGAAAGGUCAGCGGGCUGUAAAUAUAAUUGAUCAGAUGGCGGUUCCUCCUCAGCGUGAAGGUUAGCUGAUGCUGACAUUUGUUAGGAUAAUUUCUGGCCUGGGAUUAAAGCUGCGCUGUGACAUUUACACUCAGGUCGGAGUCGCUUCACUAAGACAGAUGCACCUCGAGUUUCCGUGUCAGUAAAAGGAUCUAUUAUAGAAAACUCGAAUGUCUUUGUGUGUCACAGAGGACCAGUCAGAUUGAGUUUUAUUUAAUAAACUACUUUAGUGACACACGACUCAAAAAUCACUGAAACACAUGUGACCAACACUCAGUGACCAACGCUCAGUGACCAACACUCAGUGAGGUUCCACUUCGGUGCAGAUAUUCGUGGUCCCCACAGGAUGAAUCCCGAUGACUUUGUUGAUCCUUGUGUCGGUCUGUCACGUUUUAACGUCCCAAAGAUAUCAAAGUAAAAACCAGAGGAGACCUCAUCAGGCCUCUUUGUUUUACCUGUGAGCACGUUUACCUGAAAAACACGGAGCGGUGUCGGUUUCUCCGUUCGUUCGUGCGUCCUGAUACCAGCAGAGCGGGGGUGUUUCUGCAUGAUGAGCUGCAUGUGUCUGUCUCUGCAGGGAGGAAGGAGAAGAAGAAGAGGAGGAGGGAGAGGAAGAGGGAGAGGAAGAGGGGUGUUCUCCUCAUCCAGAAAUAAUCCAAUUCCACGGGAGGAUGAACCAAACCUCCACCCUGCCGCUCUCAACUUCACCACCAUGAAAAGAGCUUUAGAGUCAGAGGGUGCUGAGGAAAGACCCCAGAGACUGUGUGUGUGUGUGUGUGUGUGUGUGUGUGUGUGUGUGUGUGUGUGUGUGUGUGUGUGUGUGUGUGUGUGUGUGUUAUAACAUGAUGCCA